AUCUAUGGCCAUACCACCCUGAACAUACCUGAUCUCAUCUGAUCUUGGAAGCUAAGCAGGGUCCGGCCUGGUUGGUACUUAGAUGGGAGACACCAUAUUUA
RNAcentral lists this ribosomal RNA (101 nucleotides) under Prolemur simus (greater bamboo lemur). The record is from RNAcentral. Lineage: Eukaryota; Metazoa; Chordata; Mammalia; Primates; Lemuridae.